GAUGAACGCUGGCGGCGUGCCUAAUACAUGCGAGUCGAGCGAACAGACGAGGAGCUUGCUCCUCUGACGUUAGCGGCGGACGGGUGAGUAACACGUGGAUAACCUACCUAUAAGACUGGGAUAACUUCGGGAAACCGGAGCUAAUACCGGAUAAUAUAUUGAACCGCAUGGUUCAAUAGUGAAAGACGGUUUUGCUGUCACUUAUAGAUGGAUCCGCGCCGCAUUAGCUAGUUGGUAAGGUAACGGCUUACCAAGGCAACGAUGCGUAGCCGACCUGAGAGGGUGAUCGGCCACACUGGAACUGAGACACGGUCCAGACUUCUACGGGAGGCAGCAGUAGGGAAUCUUCCGCAAUGGGCGAAAGCCUGACGGAGCAACGCCGCGUGAGUGAUGAAGGUCUUCGGAUCGUAAAACUCUGUUAUUAGGGAAGAACAAAUGUGUAAGUAACUAUGCACGUCUUGACGGUACCUAAUCAGAAAGCCACGGCUAACUACGUG
Molecule: ribosomal RNA, 497 nt
Filed under: uncultured bacterium
Lineage: Bacteria
Description: partial 16S ribosomal RNA
Rfam family: Bacterial small subunit ribosomal RNA
Source: RNAcentral